RNAcentral lists this long non-coding RNA (29258 nucleotides) under Oryza sativa (Asian cultivated rice). Its description in RNAcentral is "long non-coding RNA (OSAT_LNC000333)". The record is from RNAcentral. Lineage: Eukaryota; Viridiplantae; Streptophyta; Magnoliopsida; Poales; Poaceae.
AAUUACUCGAGAUGGAUUGGGAUACAUAUUCGUUAAUAAUAUAUCUAGAGUAUGAUUUAUUCAUCUAAGUAGAGAAAUCUCUAAAUAGAGACACUUCUUUUUAGAGAAGGGUAAAAAUCUCGGCACGGCUUAGUCUGCUAUUUUUUUUUGACAGAGUGGAUUCGGACCGCCACUUCUCUGAAAGCAUGGUUCUUGCCUCCCUCUCUCCCCCUUCCUUGGGGGUCGCCCAUUCAUUGGGUGAUCCCUUGCUCUCACGUUCGAGUGUUUGCUCGUCGUUUAGGCCGGUGAGUGACAUUUUUGCUCAUUGCCUUUCUUUAUGUUGUUGCCAGCACUUUCCUGGGCCGAGCCAGAAUUCUUUAUUAGAACGUCGGCAGGCAAAGCCCGCGAAGCUGGGCGUUCUGUGUGAUUAUGGAGGAAUUGUAGUACUCGCCCCCAAAAUGCAAGCCGGGAUAGAUGCUUAAAGAAAGGGGGAGCAGUGGGCCUUCAAAAAGGAGCGAGGGAGUGAUGGGUAACCUUAGUCUAUAUGUUGCUCGUGAGCCCCCAAGUACCAGUCUCGCAACACUACUGGCGUUAAAGGAUCGGUCCUUCACUUGCGGGUCGUUCGCGAGUCGAACUCGCUCUCUUGCCACCAAUUCAUGGACCAUUCUCUUUGAUUCUUUUUCACCGACGGUCAUAGUGCUUUCAGGCGAUAUAGCAAAACAGCCAUAAAGACUGUUCAUUGUCAUUUUAUGAAUGAAUUCUAAGGCGUAAAGAUAGCCGAGACCGAGGAUAGGUGCCGAUCUGUUUUACGGGCAGUAAGUACCGUUGUUCGAAAGGAAAGGUUGGCAUUGCCUAAACCAAGGAUAGGUUUGACCCUAGCUCAUUCUUCAACAGGCACGCGGUCAGAGAUCACUUUCCCCAUGGUUCUGUUUCUGUGCAAGCAACUAUUGCCUUACUUGAGGAUGAGUUUUCCCCUUGCUUUGCAACAACCAAAUUCCCUUUUCUUCCAAGCAAGACCUAUUCCUUUUCAAAUUCGUACUUCUGCAAAGCUUUAGGGUUUAGAGAAAGGGUCUUUCUUACCCUGGAUUUAUUUCUAUUCCUAUUUAGCUGGGCAAUUCUAGUUUUUGUUAUGAUGAUCUCAUGGAUAGUAGUAUUUAGUUCUUCUUUUACAUUCAGAUUGGUAGGGGGAAGUAAGCUUGGAGGGUUUUACCAGUGUGCGGCAUUUAACAACAUUUGUAUGUCGUUCCAACUUUCCAAAAAACCCAGUCUCGCAGAGCAGCAAGAGCUUGAUUGCUAGGCGGGUCGGUAGAAUCUAUGGACCGAAGGUCCUUUACUGAUAUUUUAAAAAUUGGAAUCCUUAAUCGAAUGCAAAAUUAUGCUUCGCGACUCUGUACUCAUAAUCCAAAUCUAAUUUGUUUUUUGGAUGCAAUUUUAAUUAGUCUUCGGGUACAAAUCGCCAGAAUGCCGCCAUAGCAUGCAUCCAUACAGCAUGUGCUAGAGCGACACGUGGGAGAAUGAGAACCCAAUCGUAGCUCAAUCAAGGUUUCUUUACAUACUUUGAGUUGCAUCAACCCUACUCUUGUCUAGAACUCUAAAAACUAAUCUGGAAUUGAUUAAAAAUAAGGAUAGCAUCGGAGUUUCAACCGAUCUUACCUGAUACAGUUGAAUUUAUCUUUUAACUUGUUUGAUAAUUGUAUCUACCACUUAUAUAAGAGAAUUGUCUUUUUAAAUAUAUCAAGCAUGAUUCAAUCUAGCUCAGAUCAUCAUAUCUGAGGAUUGGGGCAUAUUUGGUGCAUUUGAUUUGAUCAACACUUUUAUAUAAGUUUGUAUUAGAGUAAUACAUUGCUCUAAAUAUUGGGUCAUCGGUUGAUUUUUCCAAUAUUGAUUAAACUACAUGAUUAAUAUUAUAGCCAAUGAAUCAUAUUUAGGGUUUUGCUCUUUUUAAUCCAUCAUACAAGAGCUGAUUCGAUCUGAUUGCAUUGGCUUAAUUCUUGACGAUACGACAUCGGCUUACUAGCCGAUCGACUAUUGUUCAUCUAACUUUGCUUCUUGUUUUUCUUGCUGGCUGUAGAAUUAAACCAGUUGGCACGCUCUCAACCCGAAAGUAAUUAAGAUUUGGACCUGCAUUAGAGUAAAGCAAAUCUCUUAGACCAGUAUGUGUUUUUUUCAUCAACAGACACCUUUAUAUGCGCCAGUUGCUCUAAAUGACACAUAUAAGAUAUUUCGCAUUCAUCUUGAGCAUCUUAUAAAAAAAUUGGCACCUAUAAAUAUCUGUGUCAGAUUGUUUUAAAGAACCAUCACAUAUUGAGCUGAGCCAAGCAUGGAUGGGAGGAAAAGAAAAUAUCUCCCCGAUUCUUCUCGUCAACUCCUUUAUCUCCCUCUCCGCCUCUCCCAGGGCCGGCUUUGGAGCAGGGCCAUAAGGGCGAUGGCCUAGGGCCCAGCCAAAAUCGGAGCCCCGAUCCAGGUAUAUAUCCUGUAUAGGUAUUUAGCCCAAUAGCUUAGAAUUGAUCCUUCUCACUGAUUAGAAUUGAUGAUCCAAUCCAUCGAUCCUUCUCACUGAUUAGAAUUGAUCUGUUCUUCUAAUUUAUUUUUGUUCCCCAUUAAAUUACCUUGAUUAGAGACUUAGGGUGCUACCGUUUUGGGUUCAACCGUUAAAGGAAUCAAUACAAGUAUACAACCAUUUAGUGCACCAUAAGUCCAUAAGUUAAUUAAAUUAAGGUAUAUGGUGGAUUAGUUUUCAUUAGGCCUAGGCCCUUGAUUAUAUAGAUUUUUCCCUCACUGAUUUUAGGUCAUAGUACUUUGUAACGGGUUCUACUUCCAGCCCGUCACAGGUGACUAGUUACCUGUGACGGGUCGUAACCGGAUGACCCAUCAGAAGUGAGGUUACUCACCUCAAACGGAUUUAAGCACUAACCCGUCCGGUGAGUUGUGCCACUAUAUACCCAAACCGAAGGAGAUAUUUCUUCUUCCGGCGGUGCCCACUCCCGGAGGAGAUAAGGCCGACUUCUCUCUCUCUCUCCAUUUCUUUCGAUUUCUCCACUUCUCUCUCUCUCCCUUUCUCUCUGUGUGCAGCGGCGGCCUGGCAGGGACAGAGGGGAGCGUGCGGCGGCCCAGCGGCGGCGGCGCCCUCCCCUCCACCAGAUCUAACAGGAGCAGGAGGAGAGGCACGGUCAUGGCGAACGGUGUGGAGGUGCAACGCCGGUGACCACAAGCCGGCUAGGGCUCCAAGUUUGGACAACCCGAGCUCGGGGGGCUGUGGAUCUAGCUGUCCCGAGUUUGGGUACUCCAGAUCCAGUGGCCUCCGGCGCCAACAGCGCCAGAUCCAGGCUCAUGGUGAGUGGAUGGCGUCUCCUCUCUCCUCCAAUCGGCUGUGUGCGCUGCCGUCCGCCGUCAAGGCCUAUCGGCUGUACGGCGAGCAUGUGCUUCUCCUCAUCCUGUGCAGUCACCACCUACCGGCUACAUUAGCUAGACAUCUUUGGAGGUGAGCUUCUGUGUUAUCCUCUUUUUUCUUUCUUUGCAUGGCUAAAUUUGUUGUCUGUAGGAAUGUAUCCACGCUUAAAUAAGGUUGCUGCUUCUAUUUUAGUUGAGUUGAGCAUUAAAUAAGCUGCUAGUCAGUUUGUCAUACUCUGAUCCUCUGAAUGAUGUGUAGAUUCCUAUUGCGCUGAAGUGAUAUAUCUGAAUCUGUUUGUCAAAUACAGCAAACCUAUGUGCAUGAUCUAAAAUGUUCUUGCAGAACUGAUUUGACUAUUCUAUUCAGGUUCUCAUGACAAAUAGUACCUUUCUGGAUCUGAUAUGUUUCGAUGUAUUUUUCAGCUGCUUCUCCAGUUGCUGCAGCUCUUUGAGAUUCAGAGAUUCAAGAUCCUCUCCCAUGAGAUGGCUGCAGGAAUUACAGAAAAUCAAUUUUGCUGCAAGAUCCUCUUCUCCCAUAAGGUGGUGUACAAGUUUGCUGCAAUCCUUUUGCUUAUCCACAUGCCUUCUUGAAUUUAGUAGAUUGACGAUCAUAAAUUGUUUUGUGCCGUGUAUCUCAUUAUAUGUGCAUAGGUCCUGGAAGAGUUGUUGAAAAAUAUAUCUCUGUUGUCUCAGAUAGAAUACAUGAUCUCUAUUGUUCCAUAGGUUGCACGUACUAUGGAUUACCUAGCUAAUAUCUUCCACUCCUAUUCUCCUUUGCUUAUCUUUAGUUAUUCAUCUUAUUUAAUUCUGCAAAUUGUUCUCAUAUCAAACUAAUUCAGUGCCAUCUUUUUGCUUGCAGGUAAAUAGGUGCUCCAUAGACUAUGGAGUUGCUGACAUAGCAGAUAAUUGAAUGACUCUGCUUUUCUAAGUGCAAGCCAUUGUGUUCUUUGAGUUUUAUAUUAAUUCUCGAACUUGAUGAUGUUGGCCUGGUAGCAUGUCUCUAUAUUUGAAAACUCAAAAGAGCUCUUUUCUGAUAUGGCAUCAUUACUUUCUAAUUUUUGAAUUUGUAAUUUCUUUUUCUAUGAGCAAUUUUGGCAGUACGAAUGUAAGAGACAUGGUCCUAAUUCUUGUUUGUCUGGAGAAUGGGAAUUGGUUGAAAAAAAGAAGCUACAAAUGUUUAACAAUUGCUUUGCUUAAGCUGUUAAUCAUCCUUCUGAUUGCAGGUCACGCCGCGCUUAUACUUCUAGUUUGAUGAACAUUUGAUCUAUUAACUUCUUGUUGAUUUUCGGUGACAACUUGGAAUGCAUGUGUGAUGUUAGUUUGAAUGCAUGUGACUAUUCUAUUCUUUUAGAGGGCAUGGGAGGCUAGCCAAUCUUUAGAAACUUUUUUCUACAUGUUGCUCAUCACCGACGGUUGAUAUUGCAAAAGCCGUCACUUGUGAUGUCACCUGUGACGGCUCUGCACAUACAUGCCGUCACAAGAAAGUCACCUGUGACGGUUUUUACUCUCCGACCCGUCACAAAUGAGUUACCUAUGACGGGUUGUAACAUGCCAUGGGUUAGCGGAGACACUUACCUUUAACGGGCCAUAGAGUUCUUGUCCGUCAGAGGUGACUGUUACCAGUGACGGUCCUCCGUCAAAGGUGACUGGUCCUCACUAGUGACCACUAAUCUGUUACCAAGCCCAAACCUGUCAAUGGUGAGGGUUUGGAGCCAUCAGAGGUAACCUAAUCCGGUGUAGUGUUGGUUUGGAGCCAUCAGAGGUAACCUAAUCCGGUGUAGUGUUUUAAGUUGUCAAUCAUACUAUCGAUAUUAUUUAUCGAGAACAAAUUACUAUAUUGCAAUUUGCAAACUGCUUGAUUUAUUAUUUACCAUGUUAGAAAUGUUUAUUUAUAUCACUAUAGUAUAGGUGCUUUAUAGAGUAUAUAUUAUAAGUUAAAAGAAAUAGCCUUAAUUCUUAAGGGCCUAUAGUGUGAAGUUCGCCUAGAGCCCUCGAAAAUGUUGAGCCAGCCCUGGCCUCUCCUCUCUUCUCCCCACCACUCGAGCAAUCUUGUUGAUCAGAUUCCUUAUUACUAUUGAUGGAUUCACCGGAUUGUGCAUAUUUGCAUCGUGGGAAGUGCGAUCUCAAGCAUGCACAUGUUUCUUUAGAUUGUUCUUUCACUUGAUCAGCAUCGGCUAUCACUGCUACCCAUGAUGGUGAUAGCUAUACAUGCAGCCAUGUAGGACGACCAAGGGUGACGGUGGUAAUAUAUAUGGCAUUUGCGUGGUCACCAUCCUAGGGCGUACUCGUUACGCCAUUCAUGCAUAAUAGGGCCUUGAUCGGAUCUAACAUGCCCCACACACAAUAAGAAUAAGACUGCCCGGCUCAUCUGGUCAUGCCGCAGCACUACAAGAAAGGAAUGCCCCUAGCGGCCAUGCGAUUUUUUUGGCGGUCUGAAAUCAGCCGCCAAGAUUACACUUUAAUUUGGCGGUUCAAACUUGCCACCAAGCAUAAAGAAAUUUUAUUGGCGGCUAUUCCAUAGCAGACAAAGAAAUAUGUAUUUUGCUUGGCGGUUACAAGCAAAACUGUCAAUAUAAAUUCCAACUCCCUAUUACCAGGGUCGCGCACCUGCAGGUCAAAAAUUUGAGUUGGCCGCCUCUCAGACCACGAAAAUUCCCGCUAUCCUGCCAAAUCACUGAUCUGCCCUCAUGCCAUGUCAUCAAUCCGCGCCUCCUCCCGUGAUCUCAAUCCCAACCGUCCAUUCCCUCCUCAUCCAAUGGCAACUGCCUCCCCACUCCAUCCUCUCGUCCCCUUUCUUCCCCACUCCAUCCUCUUCUCCUCCAAUCCCCACACCACCGGAAUUGUUGAGGAGGCGUGCUUCGACCAAAUCGACGAGUUCAACAACAUCGACCUCUUCCGCUGUCGCCCCCCCCCCCCCCACAACCUCCGUCGUCCCGCGGGCGCUCGACACCGUGGAGGAGCUUCUCUGGUUGGGGAGCCCCACGCUAGCCGCCUACGCGCGCCAGGAGAUCCAGUUCCGGCACCUUGUGCAGGAGCACGCCGUCGCCGCCGCCGUUGCGAGGAUCCGCUCCAUCGAGGCCAGGAUUACCGCCCACCGCGACACCAUCACGGUGAAGGGGCACCGCCUUCGUGCCGUCCGCGCCAACAUGGUGCCACCGGUUCGGGCCCGGCUCGCCGUCCCGAUGGGCGCCACAGGAGGAGGUGGAUGCUACUCGAGCGGCUGAACCGCGCAGAGGAGGAGGAGGACGCCAUGGAGGAGCCUGAGGAGGAGAAGCUGGAGGCCAUGCCGCAGCUGGCCAGCGGCAUGGAAGACCUUAGCCUGUUGCUCCGUGCAUUCAUAGCCUUGUACUAAUAAAAAAAAAUUUGGCUAGAGCUUGUGAAAGAAAAAAUAAUUAUUUUUGGUUUCAGGUAUUUGUAACAAGAUGAAGUUGAUCUCCAAAGAACUCUGAGGUUAAGCGAGUGAGGACAUAUUGUGUAGAAAAUACUUGUGUUGGUUUGUGAGGGCAGUCUAUGUCCUAGAAAAGCUGCUAGAUGUAAGAGAGGCGGGACGUUUCAGUUAGUAUUCUUAACGGUUUCGCAGCCACCAAGUUAAAGUUAUUCUUGGCGGUGGAAAACCGACAAGGCUAUUUUUCCUGACGCUUUCGAAAGAUGGCAAUCUUCUUAAUUUGCUUGGUGGUUUGACCGCCAUGAAUAUUUUUACUUACGGUUAGCCGCCAAUAAAUUUAAAUAUCCUUGGCACUCUAGACUUGGUGGUAGUUUCUUGGUGGUCGGCCGACGGAAUAAUUAUCCUAGGCGGUUUAUAUGCUAUCCUUGGCGGUUUUUGGCCGCCAAGGACAUUCCGUUUUUUUAGUGUAGGUCUACAUCCGAUGAAGAUCUAGCAUACCCUACAAGGAAACAAAACACAAAGAAACAGUAAACGAGCCGAAUAUUAAACGAAUUUGGAUGGCGUACUCAGAUAAGAAAGAUUUGAGUUGGUCAGAAAGCAAGUUCUAGAUCUACAACUAUAACGACGUUGUGAAUGGGAUUGAUAUAUAACUUCGGCAUGGAAAGUUAGAAACGACACAGGAAAGAGUGAGCAUCACGUGUCCCUAGAUGUGGGGAUCCCAUUUUGGUGUUUUGGGAAGAAAAUGAUGUGCAUAAUGUGUUGACGCUGGUGUCCGCCAUGAUAGCCACCACUGCCAUGAACUAAGGCUACCUGGAAACAUCACCCAGCUAGACCGCCCGAUGUUCGAUGAUGACCUAGAACAUCGACAGCACAACGGGCACGCCGGCUUGUCGCCAUGGCGCAGCCACUCCUCGCCAUGCUUCCGGCUAUCCCUCCCGCCACUGGUUGCGUUGAGCCCACGCCCCGACAGCAAGGGGAUACCGCGCAUUGAGUUUGUUGUUGGGCGGCAGGGUUUGAAAUUUCGGUUCGAAAUUUCUGAAAUUUUUGAAAUUUCGGUAAUUUCACCCACCUCCCCCAACCAAAAUGCUCACAUCUCGUCCGAAACUUUUGAUUUUUAUGAAUUUGGUCAAAUUUUAUUUAAAACCAGUCAAAAUUUCGCCCCUCCCCCCUCCCCCCCCCAACCCGCGACAGAAAAUCUAAUUUCAAAAUUUGAAAUCCUGGUGGGCGGCCAUGCCCGUGGGGUGCAUAAGAUAGAUGCUGGAUCGGAACCACGCUGCUCUGGGUGGAAAUGAUCAAUCAUAACCGAAGCCCAUCGCAUUUUCAAGAACGCACACGCUUGCCCAUUGCGUUCUGUCCCAUACGUACCCGGGCAAUUUCAGAGACAGGCUCUGCCUACGAACUGAACGCACGAAUCACAGUCGGGCAGAUAUGACAGACAGGAACCUAAGCAACAUCAAUUUUUUAAGUAGGUAAAGAUUGCAUAUAAAAUAUAAAUUGCAGUGGCGGAGCUAGAGCGAAAUGGAGGGUGAUGCCACUUGCUUAAUUUACUCUACUUUAAAUCGAGUUUAAGUUAAUGCUGGUGCUUAAGUUUGUAUUGAAGGGGUGCAUACAUGGUGAAAAUAGAUGAGGUAUAGCUAAAAAAUUUUCUUGACCGGGUUCCUGAACACCCCCUAUUAUCCACUAGCUCUGCCCCUGAUAAAUUGCAUGUAUAAAAAUAAAACUGACGAGUUGCAUAUCAAAUCCAAUGCAUCUGGCCUUGCUACUACAAACCGGAUUACUCCUGAUAGCCACAAACCGUUAGGAAAAACACUAUUCACAUAAAGGAAAAAAACAAUUUUAUGGUACUUGAGGAGGUACCAUGAGGUACUAAUUUUUUUAUUGUAAAUUUGAUACCUCUUAAUAGCUAGGUACUAUGAGGUACCAUGAGAGGUACCAAAUAUUAGUGUAAAAUUUGGUACCUCAUGAUACCUCUUUAAGAACCGUAAAAUUGCCUAAAGGAAAAUGCUUCCUAAUGGGGUACCAUUACUCCAUUAGGACUGGCUUAUCAGUCAGGAAAAUUAAUCCUGACGUGGAUUGCCGUUAGAACUAUUUUUUGUGACGUUAUAUGCAACAUCAGAUAAAUUCUAACUUUACUUCUGUUCUCCCUAAACAUUCAAGGCAAGGUAUCUUUACCGAUGAAACUAUAAUAAUAAUAAUAAUAAUAAUAGCAAGGCAAACUACUAUAAUAAUAAUAAAAGUUCACCAACACUACCGAAGAUCCAUAGCUAUCUGUCUUGCUGCUUUCAAGUUAGGAGGCAGCAAUCUCGCAAUGAGUUCAUUGAGAACAAUUGGGCAACUGAUUUUCAGAUGCUUAUAACCAUCAGUUCUCAUCAUCCUCUCAAGAUUGGUUGGUUGAAGCAAGGAAUUCGAGGCAAGCUUCCUUGAGUCCUUGGCAGCUAUGCUGCUCAGCUAGAGCCAAAGUGGUCGCCACCAUGUUGCAGUCAAUGUGCUUUGCUAGCUUCUCCUCGCAUAUCAGCUUCAGCCUCCCAACAUUGUACCAAUCCGCAGCGACAAGCAGGUGCUGAGCCAUCAUUGCAUCUUGAGACCACGUCUCUGGCAGCGAGUCAUUGUACAUGAAAUGUAGCAAUAAUCUGAACACACCAGCUUCCAUAUCUUCGAUUUCAAUGGUCCUAGGGGUUUCCGCAAUCAUGGCACCGAAGAACAACGCCCUGAAGACAGACGAACGAGCGGCGAGUAUGCAUUUGUGUGCUCUGAAUCUCUCCUUACCAACGUAGAUCGUGACGUCUUUUCCAUUCAUCUUCUUAUUACUCAGGAGGUUGCCCAAAUGCAGGUCCAGACGGCCUGCAGGAACUUCCACAGACGGCUUACAGUGGCUUCCUUUGCUAGAGAAGCCCUUCAUGACAGUAAGAUCACACCUGAUAGUAAAUGAAUCGUCUAUUAGAUGCUCCGAUUGUUCCAAAUCCCUUUUCUUGAUGAACCUGGAGUAGCCCCAGUUUGAACCUCUUCUGCUGAAAUUGUGCGUAUUGGAGAUGAAGUUGCGCGAUCGCACCGGUUUAUUAUUCGUGUCCAGCAGUUUGAAGCUGAACUUUGCCUUCACGUCCUCGGCCCAGUGAGACUCAAGAAACACAGAAAACGACAGGUAGUCUGCGUUCUUUGAGCAGUUGCCAUUGGGGUAGUAUCUGACGUUCCAGAGGAAGUCCCCAACACUGAACGGGAUAGAUGACACAAAUUCGCCAUUCUCCAUCAGAUCCUUAGUUACUGUGUAUCCAUCAAUCUUGAUUACAUGUGACGCGCUCGUGGUUUCAGUAGCAAUGACAGAGGAGGAGGUGUUGUUCGUAUCGUUUGCCAUUGUGGAGUUGAACUUGCCAUGCAUCAGCUAUCAACAGUUCGUGACACUUUUUCCUGUGCUGGAGUAUAUAUAAACAAAGCAAUUUUGUCUAGUUAGUACUGAAAAAAAACGUACCCCCUCAAUAAAGUACAUGCAGAACAACUUUUCUUGAACCAAAACGACACGAAAGAUAAAGUAGUAACCAUCUGGACUAGAAGACGUAUAAUUCAACCAGAAUUGUAAGAUAUUUGAACCAUGAAUGCAAUAUAAGUUCAGUUAAAACUGAAUAAAUAGAAAAUUAGUCUUCAGUAGCAACAUUGUGGGGAAAAAAAAAGCUUGAUCAGGUCUUUGUCGAGCUUUCAUCAGAUUUAACUUUUUUAUGAUUUGCUUAUUUUUUAUAUCAUUCCAGAUUAUUUUUGCUAACAAACUAACGAGCAUAGCCUAGGUGAAAACGACUUUCAUUCACAAUUAAAUAAUUUUUAUUUAAAAAGAAAACUAGAUCAGUCGGAGCAACCAAGUCAUGGGAGCAAUUAAUUUUGAACCGAGCCACCAAGCUUAAACGUUUCUCCCCCUCACGAGAAGCAUUAUAUUUGCAGCUGAUGAGAUGCAUGUUCUAGUAAAACAUAGCACUAAUUCUGAAACUCAAAGCAUACGAUUCCAACAAAUGAUGAUUGGCCAUGUGUGCCCAUGUACAUUCAUCUCACAUGUAGACAUGUAGGGCUGGAUUGAUUAUUCAUUAUUAAGAAAAUAAAAGGAGCCCAUGUACAUUCAUCUCCAUGUAGGGCUGGAUUUAUUAUUCAUUAUUAAGAAAAUAAAAGGAGAAAAACGAAUGAAGAUACCGAAUAACGUGUAUACCUUUGUGAAUUACGUAUAAGCUUCCAAUGAGACUUUACAGAUGGCGGCUUACCUAUAGCGGACAGCGGGGCGGAGGCGCGGAGCACGGAGGCGAAUUGCGGGGAUGAUCACGGCGGAUCGAGCACUCGAGGAGUGAAAAGAUUUGGCGGCGCCGGCGUCGAUCAGUUCGGGAGGGCGUACGGCGGGGGAGGUUGGGUUUUUCACCACCCCGAUCGAUACGUAUUCUCUGCCGUUUGGCCUUGUUGAUUUCACGUAAACGGCAAGGAUAUAGCCACGAGCCCACGACUUCUUGAUUAUCUUCCUUGCGUAGUAUUUCCCCCGUCUUUUUUAUCUUUGCUUUCCUCCUGCACUAUUUUAUCCUGAACUAGUCUGCAGGGUACUCCUAACGGACGGGUGAUCGCUCCCUCCCCUUCCAAGCGAUCACCCGCACCUCCCCUUUACUACUUUACCUCCCCUUCUUCUCUUACUGCUACACCAUAUAAAUUUGAAUUAAAAUUUAAAUUUGAAAUGGGUAUGUAAACUUUUUACUUAUAAACUUUGGGUCUAUAAACUAAUAUUUGAAUUCAAAUUCAAAUUUGAAACGGGUAUGUAAACUUUUGACCUAUAAACUUUGGGUCUAUAAAUUAAUAUUUGAAUAUAAAUUCAAAUUUGAAUCGGGUAUGUAAACUUUUGACUUAUAAACUUUGGGUUUAUAAACUUUAGGUGUAUAAACUUUAGAUGUAUAGAAAUACUAUAUAUAGAAAAUAUUUGAAUUCAGAUUCAAAUUUGAACGGAUAUAAUUCAAAUUCAAAUUUGAAUCGGGUAUGUAAACUUUUGACUUAUAAACUUUGGGUCUAUAAACUUUAGUUGUAUAAACUUUAGAUGCAUAAAAAUACUAUAUAUAGAAAAUAUUUGAAUUCAAAUUCAAAUUUGAUUCCCGACAUAAUUCAAAUUCAAAUUUGAAUCGGGUAUGUAAACUUUUGACUUAUAAACUUUGGGUCUAUAAACUUCAGCUCUAUAAACUUUAGAUGUAUAGAAAUACUAUAUAUAAAAAAUAUUUGAAUUCAAAUUCAAAUUUGAAUCGGAUAUAUAAACUUUUGACUUAUAAACUUUUGGUCUCUAAACUUUAGAUGUGUAAACUUGAGGUGUAUAAACUUUAGAUGUGUAAACUUGAGGUGUAUAAACUUUAGGUACAUAAAUUUACUAAAAUAGGAAAGUAAUGCGGUGCCAAAAAGGAAACCAGGUGGAGGGAGGGGGGAAGGGGGAUCGAUCGCUACCCUUGUCGCCGGGCGAUCGAUCGCCCAUUAGCACUUCCGUAAUCACGACAGUUAUGUUUAGGUCGGCCUAUUUGUCUUUCGACAGAAAUAACCCUUCCAAAUCUUGCAAAUUUCACAAUAUAAAACCUUUUUUUUUCAACAACUGGAUUUUAUUUUUGGAAAAAGUACAAAUUACCCCCCUAGCUAUCGCGGUCGAUCGAAUUACCCCCCUUAACCCGAAAACCAGACAUGCAUUAUUCACCUUCAACUUUUAAUAGUAGACGAAUUACCCCCCUCGACUCAAUCUAUAGCGGUUUGUCCUACGUGGCGUAUGCGUGGCAAUCCAGUCAGCACCUUUUUUUUUUUAAAAAAAAGAUGGGACCCACCUAUCAUCUUCCCCUCUUCUUCUCUUUCUCUCUCUCUUAAUUGAGGCGCGGGGACGGGCAGUGAGCGUGUGGUGGUGCUCAUGGACGGGCGGGCAAACGCGCGCGGGGAGGUGGAGGGGAUGGGGGAGGUCGAUGGGGAAGGGGAGGGGCGGUGGGUGGCAGCGCCUGUGGAUGGGCAGGCGAGCGACGUGGACGGCGGCGAGCCGAGAGGUGAAGGGGAUGGAGGAGGUUGGCGCAUGGCGGCGGCCAUGGCAGGCGAGCCAGGGGCACGGUGGAAAGGCGGAGGGGAUGGGGGAGGUCGGCACACGGCGGCGGUUGCCCUAGCGGGCGAGGCAAGGGCGCGCCGUGCGUGUCGCCGCCCACCGUCCGUCCCCGCGCUGACCGCCCACCCCCAGUGCGCCGCCGCAACCCCGCCCAUUCCCGGGCCGACCGCCCCUGCGUGUCCGGAUGGAGGCGGCGGCGGCCGGGGACGAGGAAGAAGCGGCGAUGCAGAACGUGGAGGCGGCGACAGUGCGGGACAGAGAGGAGGGAGCGGCGAACUCCAGGAAGGAGCUCCGGCGAACUCCCUCCGGUGCAGGAGGGUCUCCGUGUCCGCCGUCCACGUCCGCCCUCCGCCCGCCCCCGCCGCCAUCCAUCCCCAUGCCGAGGGGGCGGCUGCUCGUCGUGGCCGCGGCCAUAGCCGCCGCCACCUCCUCGUUCCUUGCCGCCUCUGCGUCACCCGCUACCACCGCUCCGUGUCCCUAGCCUGCCGCCGACCCGCGAGAGAGAAGAGAGAGAGGGGAAGAGUGACUGGUCUGCCAUGUGUACGCCACGUAGGAUAAAACCAUUCUGGAUUGGUUUGAGGGGGAUAAUUUGUCCGUUAUUAAAAGUUCUGGGUGAACGAUGUCUGGUUUUCGGGUUUAGGGGGUAAUUUGGUUGACCGCGAUAGUUCGGAGGGCUAAUUCGUACUCCCUCCAUCCUCAAAAGUUACACAUAUUACAUAUUUGAGUUUUUCCAAAUAAGUUGUUCCUAUUUGUAGUCUUUAUGCAUUCAAGACUUAAUGAAGAGAUAAAUUAAAUGUUUUAUUAGAACCCAAGGAGUCAUCUAAAUGCUUAUUGGUUGCAUGCUUGGAUUCACUUAUUGAUUUUGUAACAUCCAAGGUGAUUUAAUUUCUCCUUGGUCUUGGUGUCAAAAGUAAUAUGUGCAACUUUUGUGGAUGGAGGGAGUACGUUUUCCUUUAUUUUUUCAUCAUGGGUUAAAAAUAUCCGCACUUGUAAUAACAAUAAGAUGUUGAUGUGACCAUGGCUACUAUGAAUAUAAUUGUUGUUCAUAUCAUGGAUCAAUAAAAUGACAUCAUGAUCAAGUCCUCCAAGUGCUGGAAUCCAAUUCGUCCACCUUCUCCGUUUUUGGUCCAUGUGUACUUGAUGAAAAGCUCUCACAGUCCUUUUUCCAACGAAUCCAGUCUCAUCGCCAAAUUUUAUCUCAGUCAUCCACAAUCACAGAAACAAUGUGUUGCGAAACCUAUGAUGGGCCUAUUUGCUUGUAACUUCAUCUGGAACCCCGACCCAAGUGAGGCCCAUGUGGGGUGCGCUCCAACCAGGUGGAGUACUUUGUCGUGUAGUCCUGUCAAAUACAUACUCUCAUGUCAAUAUUUCAAUUCAAAAUUAGCAUGUGGUCUCAUCUGAGGAUGAUAUAAUUAAAUGAACACAAAAAUGAUAAAAAAAUAUUUCCCCUACAAAACAAAUACAAAUAAUUUGUUUCGGUUGCGCACUUUAUAUGUGUAUGUAGCAAACGAUUCAAUUCAACAUGCAAGAGUGAAAUGGAGUGAGAAAUAAUAAUGAAAACUAACCUUGUAUGCUUCAAGCUCCAACAAGACAAAAAAAAAAUAGAGCAAAACCUCCCUCCUCCUAUAGCUGGUCAAGCAAGAACAAGAGGUGCCGCUCUGUUCUUCGCUCGAUCAGCUUGAGGGGACAGGAAAGUGGUAUAUAUUGUGAUAGUAGGUGCCGGUUUUUAACUAGAAUCGACACAUAUCUCUAACAAAAAUAUAGGUGCCAAUUUUUAAGUGUGGGCCCUUCAAUGGCUACUAGCUAGGUGGUAGAGUCAAAGUUGCUGGUUCUAGCUAAGAAUGGACACCUUUCUAUGACAGCCUCAAAGGUGCCGGUUAUAGGGUGGGCCUCACGACCAACAAUUCUGAUGGGAUGCAUGUCAAAGGUGUUGGAUUUUAUAUGGAACCGGCACCUAUCUCUGACAGGAAAUAUAAGUAUUGGUUCUAUUUAAAAAAGCAGCACCUAUUUCCAUUGGAAGGUGACGUGGUUUUUUCGUUUGACGCCCCCACGGGUACCUGUGUGGAUGGAAAAAGUACUAUAGGUGCCGAUUUUAGCUGUUUCGGCAUCUAUUGUACCGUCCUCUAUGUGCCUUUCAUAUAUUCAGAUGUAUUGAUUGGAAGGUCUAUCGUGCUUGGAUGAACUUAGGUAUUGCUUGGCUCUGAAUAAAUGUUAUCAAAAAAACCCAAAAUCAACUCUAAAUUGAAGGUUAAAAAUUUAAAUUCUGGCUUAUAAGCAUAGGCAUAAGAAAAAGAUGAGGCUUGUAAUUCGGUCAUCAAUGGCUUGAAAUCAGCUCCUCUUACACAUAGGGGCGUGAGUCCCUAAGAUGUGGGGCUCACCUUCACGGUCCCACACAUUGGAGGCACAUGUCCCUGCAACGUGCGUCAAAGGAGCCUAAUCAUAGUGGCAUACAUGAUAUUAUAUGAACUAAAAACAUGAGCUGUAAUACACAGACUAUAGACAAAGUCCCACAUGUCGAAGUAUGUUUGUCAUGUUCUCUCACCAACUUCAAAUCAGUUUUUUAGGGAACACUUUGCUUCCCAACUCUCCCUUAUCGUUUUCCGCGCGUACGCUUUUCAAACUGCUAUUUUGGUGCGUAUUUUGUAAAAAGUUUUUAUACGAAAGUCGUUUAAAAAAUCAUAUUGUUCCAUUUUUGAAAAAAAAUAGCUAAUAUUUAUUUAAUCACGUGCUAAUAGAUUGUUUCGUUUUCCGUGCGGAGGAGUUUGGUUCCCAACCAUCCCAAACGAACUAAGAGCUGUAAAUAUAUACUCCAUCUUUUACUAAAGAUGAAUAAAAUCGAUGCUCCCAUUUGAGGCUCAAAAAAAGAACCAUCAUGUGCCAAUUUUCAGAGCAAUUUUUACCAUUCAAAUUCCCAAAAGAAAAAAAGGAAAAUGCUUUAAGUACGAUCACGAGCGUCCAACUCUCGUACGACCACGGUGACGGCGUAUGUGACGUCUGCGAGCUGACCAGUUUGGGCUGUGAUCCGAAUCUCAUUCUCGUUGGGCCUUCCAAAAGCCAGUCACAAUCGUGGCUAACUACCAUGUCUGACCGCGUUCGUGCAAUCAGCAACAAACAAAUACUACUAACAGAUUCGCGUGUGCGUGGAAUCACCGUCUUACAUGAGCUUUUAAUGGAUCUUCUUCAGGUGCUAAUUUUCAAUUAUUUUCUUAGUUUCUUCUAUUCAUAUCAUUACAUUGUACAAGUCCGUUAAGACGAUUUGUUUGUAUGUUACGGCUGUGACAGUAUAAGUGGGUUUUCACAUGCUAUUCAAAUGCUUAUGGCCCUCAGUUAAUCAUGCAUAGCUUAAUUGUUGACAUAAGCGCAAUCAAUAAUGAUAAGCUAGUUAUAAAAACUGAUCUUGGUGGUUACACUAUAUAAAAGAAUAAAAAAAAUAACUUGCUUUACCUAGUUGUAUGAACUGGUCUUGGUAACAUCUGCUACACUGAAAAUAAUACUAGAAUGUUGAGAUCAAGUUGACAGUGAGUGGAUUCAGCAUUUCAGAUUGACCUAAAGCUUCGGCAGAAGCAUCAUGCGGCCAUGUUGACAUGAUAUUGUGGGUUUAGACUUGUACAUGGGCCUAUGUAUAUGAUAUGAGAGUGUAUGGGCUUGUGGCACAGGUCCAAUCUACAGCAUCACUUCACGCCGUCACCGUUCGCUGUUUUAGUUGUACGCUAGUCGUAUAACUUGGUCGGACGUAUAGCAGAUCUCAAUAAUAUAAGUACAUGGGUUUACUAAUGGCCUUUCUUUCUCUCAGUAAUACUUUUACUCGUAGGUUGAUAGUAGAGCUAGUAAUCUUUUUACCCAUGGGCCAAUGAAGUAAACAGAAGGAAAAAAACAAAAAAAAAAGAAAUGGGGAACGGAGUGCAGACGGAAAAAAUUGGAUUGGGGAGGGGUGUGGGUUUUUUGUUUUUGGGGUGGGGGUGGGGGGUUUUGGUGGGUGGGGAGAGUAGGUGAGGGGAGCAUUUUAGUUAUUGUGCACCGUAUGUGCGCUUUAUUAUGUCCCUAUAUUUGUAUGUAUACAUACAUAUAUGCAUGUAUUAGGAAAAAAUAUCCGUUCAUUGUAAUGAGUGAAGACUAUUUUAAUUUUAUUAUUGUUGUACGGUUUAACUAAGGUAAAAUUCACUGUGGGAAUUCGCAUGAGCUGCAAUUAGGAUCGGAGUCCGAUCAUCUAAAGGUAGCAUGCAUAGUUUCUUAAAAGAUAUUUCUUAUAUGUCUCCCGUAUUUGUAAAACGAAUGAACUUAAACAAACAACUCAAAAACGGAUUUGUAUUUCCAAAUGAAAUGAACUUUAAAACCAACUCAAAUACGGAUGACGUACCAAAGUACUGAUAAAAACAUCUUCAAUUUUUAUAAUAGUAGAGAUAUAUAUUUGUGUGUUGAAUGUGAAUGUUUCAAACUGAACUUUGCGAGGGAUUUUGGGAGAUAUAUGUAUUGAUGGUUAAUGCAUUGUCCAUGUGGAUGUGUACCUGUGUCUUUGAAUGUAUCGUGUAUGAUCUGUGAUUUUUUAUGAUUCUGUGAAAUUUGUAAGGUCUACUAUUUUUUUUCAUACCGGCAUAUAGGUGACAGUUGUUGGUAAAAACCGACCCCUAUAGUGCUGCCACGUGUCCAGCUCAAGCGAUAACCAACACCAAUAUAUUCUUAUAGGUGUCAAAUGUUACGUAGAAACGACACCUUUGACAACUAUCACGCCCAGAAAUUCACUAGUAAUUUCCGAACCAAUUUGUGCAUAAAAUCCUCGUCCAGGAAUCAGCCAAGGUACACAAACAGAUAAUUUAAUAUACAGAUUCAUCAUAAUAAUAACGUUACAUACUUACAAAAGAAAAGAAAAUAGCAGCGGAAUUACGGUCUAGCGAAGCUCCGGCUCCACUCCCACAGGCAACUCAACUGGGGUAUAAGUCAAACGUCUUCUCCUUCGCAACUUGUCUUCAACUGAGGUUUGAUUGAUUAUUGCAAGGUGAGCAUAUGACAUACUUAGCAAGCCACACAGCAAAUAUGCAAGUGCACAAGGAUACCAAAGAAUGGCAUAAUAUAGGGCUCAUUUGCAAAAGCAGCAUUUAGCAAACAUUUGAGAAUUGUAAAACAGUAGAGUAAUUAAUCAUCAAUAUUUAUCAACACUGAAUAGCACAUCCAUACUGCACAGGCCCAACCUUCCUGAAUAACCAUACCCGGCUGUACAGAUCUAUCUCCAAACCAGGGAUGUGUCAUUCCAAACCAGGAGCUAAAUUAAUUACCAUCAAUUACCACAUUAUUAUUAAUGAGUAGUGUAGGACUAAUCACGAAAGACAUUGUUAGACCCGCCCAUAACCGCGGGCAUGGCUAUUCGAAUAGUUUUACUCUAGCUAGAGGUGUACCACUGUACCCACAAGACACAACUCCAUAAUAUGUCACCAUAUCAUUAUGUGCCCAUGCUGAACAUGUCACCAUUUGUGUAGUUGUGACAAGACCCCUCGCAUAGCUCAACUCAAAGCAGCACACCUUUCCUGGAUCAUAGUCACCCCCUCAAAAACCAGAGGCAUGGACUCUCCAGCGACCCCCGUGGGCUUAUCUCCGCCACUUCUCAGUCUGGCACACCACAAUGAGCUUUGCUAUAGAAAGUGUCCAGUCGUUGCCCAUUCUGGCUUGUGGUUGGCAUGGUUAAUGUUUCACAACCGAAACUUGUGAACCGGUCCUUAAUUUUCAUGAGCACUAUCAUCAAAACCAUGUGCUCACAACCCACCAUUAUCAAGUUUUAGUUGGCAAAUUAAUUAAUUAACCAAUCACGAUUGACCAUCAUGAGCUAUCUUUGCCAUGUACAUCAUUAAGUAAUAGUGAAACCUUAGUUAUCCCAAUAGUGUGCUAAUGUUUCUAAGCAUGACUAAGUAAUUAUAUCUAAUAUAUCUAAUUGAACCAAUAUAUAAAUCCAACUAGUCAAAUUAUAACCCGAGGUAAUCAAGAAAUAGGGUAAUCAAUGCAAAUUGGCCAUAACAAAGGAAUAGGUUCACACCACCCGAUGACAUUCGAAAAAAAAUGCACAGUUGAAAUAAAUAGAGAAUUUAAAUAUAGGAUCAACAUGCUCAAAGGAAUUAUGUUUGGGAUCUGUGUGACUUGACUUGCAAUAAUGGGUCUUCAAUUUGUCUUCUGGAACACUUCCGACACACUCGCGAACCUUCACAAUGACGGAAACGACAAGCUAACACGCAAAACGAGGAAAAAGACUAAGAAACUCCAAAUAAACAAUACAUAUAAAGUAAACAAACAUGUAGAUCAUAAUUUUAGAUGAAUUAUGAGACUUGAAUGGCCUCAUUCUGACUUCAUAUGAAUUAAUUACGAAUUGUACAAGAUUUAAUCUAAUUAAAGCCCAUUUAAAAAGGAUUAAAUAAAUUUAACACAAUUUAUGGAUAAUUUUAAUAUAUAGAUCUUUAUUUUAUACAACUUUUGCAACUUGAACCACAUUAAACCGAGUUACAAUGAAUUAGUUAUGCAUUUCUAAAGAUUAAACCGCAUUAAAGCAUUUAUAUGGAUUUUAAAUUGAAUUAUGACGCAAUAAAGAAUUAUUUUUGAAAAGGAAAAUAGAUUUAUUGCAUCAUCAAAGACGGUCCAUGGUAAACCGGGUUCACAGAAGCGGUCCACGGAACCAACGGCCAAGAUCUAAUUGACCUAAAAUUGACUGAAUCGAACGGCCGAGAUCGAUCCGGUCUACCACGGGUCUACGGCUGACAAAGUGCUAACAUCAGCGAUGAUGUCAUCUCCGGCGGCGGCUCGGCACCUCGUGCUCGCCGGCGAACGACGGCACGGCGGCGCAAACGGAGGGCACCAACGCGUAGAGCUCGGCUCAGCGAACUCACCAGUGGCUUGGACGACGGCAAACGACGAUGGAUGACGACGGCGGUCUUCGGGUCGGCGGUGACGGCGGUGCUUCGGUGGGAAACGGCGGCAACGAAGGGGUGGACGAGGUGCUGCUCCUCCUCGUGAUCCCGACGGUGGCGACGACGACCGAAGGCGGUGGCUGCAACGGUGGCACGGCACGGCUGGACCGACGGCGACGGUGGAGAGCUUCGGGUCGACAGUGUCGGCUGCGCUUCGGUGAUCUGCGGCGGAAACGGAAGACGGGACGAGGACGGCGAUGACCUCGCGAUGCUGAUGAAGGAGACGGCGUCCGACGACGACAAUCGAAGGGACGGCGGCGCCCGACUGGACACCCGCCGGCGGCGACGACGCAAAGAGCCACACAGAGGCGGCGCUAGAGAAGGCGGCAGUCAAAGGUGGAGAUGGUGAUGUGGAGAGGAGGUCCCGGAGGUCCUUUUAUAGGGGCUAGGGGGCGGCGAUGGAGGCCCAUGGCCGGCGGCAAGGAGAUGGAAGGUCUAGGGUUUUGGAAAGAGAAGCUAACCAAAUCGGCAUUGAAUCCGAUGAUUUCCAAACGAAUUAGGUCGGGAUUCCUAAAGAGAAAAGGAAGAGGAGAUCGAGGAGAUUAUUUCCCCUCAAUUGAUUUGGCCGGAGAAGGAAAGGGGCGGCCGGAUUUUGGAAGGAGGCGGCGGCUUGCGGCGCGGCUAAAUGCGGCCGGAGGUUGAAGACGACUGACAGGUGAGUCCCACCUGUCAGCAAAAGGAAGAGAGGAGGGAGGGGCGCGGCGGUCUGGGCCGGCUUGGGCCGGGCGCGAGCAGGCUGAAAGGAGGGUGAGAGAGACUUGGGCUGACUUUCGGCCCAAAGCUAAAAGAGAGAUUUAAAACCUUUUUAUAUUUAAAUUAUUCAUGAAAUGAUAUUCCAUUGAUUAAAAAUACUUCCUUGGCUCAAAUAAAUCCCAGAAAAAUCUAGGAACUAUAGAAACAAGAGAAGUAUUUAACAAAAUUUUAUCUAGCCCACUUUUAUAUUGAGAUUUAACAAAUUAAAAUUAGAUCUUCUCUUUUAGGCUUUUAAGAUCAUUUCUAAUAAUUCCUUUUAAACCACAAUUUAUAAUUUAAGGAUUUUUAAACGAGAAAAGCAUUUAACAUAAUUAUAACUAGAUCAUUAAUGAUUAUUGAUUAACUAAUUAUUGAACUGUUCUUUGUAUCAUUUAGGAAUUGAGCUCUGAAAAAUCUGAGAAAAUUUCAAAGAGUAUAAUUAAUCAUGGAGAAUUUAAUAAAAAUUAAAUCCAGCCAUGCUUUAUAUUUAGGAAAUUUUAUUUCCCACAUUUAACUUCACUUGUAAAUUAAUGAACAUUUAAUAUAAAUUCUAUUAAUAAUUUAUUAAGUAAUUUAUAAAUCCUGAAACGAAAAUCAGGCUGUGACAACAACCACCACAUGGCGCUUGGGGGCCAAGAACUGGCACCUAUAACAAUAUAUAGGUGUCGGUUCAUGGUUACAACUGUCUAUAUGCUAUAGGUGCUAGUCGAUGGCUUUUGUCAUCGGUGCCACCUGAGGGGUGUCGGCUAGAAAACCCGGCACCUAUGGGGGUUUCGCAACCAGCAUCAAUACAAUUUUUUUUAGUAACAUUGAACAUCGUGCUAUGAGGAGUUAAUCGGUUCGAGUGUUCAAAACUUAACAUGUCAAAUAAUGGUUGGAUUAUCCGCAUAUCUGGUAUAAGUACAAAAUGGCUUUGAUAAAUAAGAGAUUGCAGAGACAAUUGUUUUUUUUUUGAGAAGUAAGCGAUAUUUUCAUUUUCCAAUUUCCUGGAAUUCCCCCAUAAUGGAACAUAACUAGAAAAUCGAUGUGCCCGUUGGCGCGUGCAAUAUUUAUAUCCUGUAAUAUUAAUUAAUGGGUUUUAAAAUUUAGGUUUAAAAUACACGAUGAACAAAACUAUAACAGAUCUAUUGGUAUAUAACACAAACAUGCUAUUUAUGUUCUCUUGUCAAGUAAGAAUACAUAAGAUUUUACAUGAAUAAACUCAUUUCGUGUUAAUUGUUUAUAGAAAACUUACAAUCCACAAAACUCUUAAAUAUUUUUUUCUUAAUUUUGUGUUAGUAAAAGACUGCAGAAAGAGUAGUAACAUACGCUAGCUAGGUUUUAUUGGGUGAAUAAGUAAAUUGUUUUUAAUGAAAUUGCACGUUUUGUAUUUAAGCACUUUGAACAUAUCUUUUUUUUUCUUUUUGGAAAAAUGCACGUUCAUUUUCUCUUUUCAGGGAGAAAUACAUAUACCAAUAUGAACUCAUUCUAGGAUUAAUUGCGUUCUGCAAGAAUACCUAACGAUACACACAAUUCGUGAUAGCACUUUUCUAAAGUAUAUAUGCUAUAACCUUAACCAUAUGCUUAAAACAUAGUAAUACUAAUCUUGGUCUAUUUAAUAACUGAAAAUUACAUAUGUAUGUGCUAUGAAUUACUCGAAUACAUUUAAAUUCACUUCUUAACUUUAAAAUUGUUUUGUCUAUUUUUAUUACUUAUAGGCACUUUUUUAUAAAACGGAUAAAGUUUAAUACUACUCAUGAUUUCAGCACAUGCCGUAUAUUUUAAACCUAUAUUAAGAUGUCAGUGUAAUGUAUAGUGACGCUGAGUUACUUUUACAUGUCUAAUUUGUGCCACGUUAGGUGCACUGAGACAUUUUAGUUUAGCAUUAUCAGGGUAGCACUGAGGUCACGAUCUAUUUUUGAAAUUAGUUUUUGACACGGUUUAUUAUUAAAAUAAUUUUUAUAGAAGGAUUAAUUUGUCAAAAUUAUGCCGUAAACAUAAGUAUCCAAAUAAAUGCGUAUAGUGAUAGACCAAUCUUUUCAUCUUUUCUUUCUUCCUACGUGGGUCUACCUAGUCCAUUUAAUCAUGUGUGGCACCUGGCUAAUGAUGCUGCAUGAGCCAUGCGCAACCGUGUACAGGCGGCGUUAAGCUAGCUCGGGCUCGCUCACUCGUACAUGUUGAUAUUUCUUACGGUCACAGAUGAAAUCCGCAAGCGCACGAAGAUAUCGAAUUUUAAUAGGGAACAUGUGUGUUCAGCUCCUCUUCAUCCAAGGACACAAAGCAAAAAUAGGCAAAGGGUAGAGAGGAUUUCCUAGUGAGGAACAUUGUCUAUAGAAAGUUUAUUCAAUUCUAUCGCAAUACUUCAGGCACUAGCUUGCUCACUGCUACCAGAACGCACUAUACUCCGUACCCGAACAAGAAGGACUGCAGUGAUCUCAAGGGCUGUCACCACCUCUACACCAACUUCUAACGAACUGUGGGAUACGCAACAAUCACCGGUAAUUAACAACCUUAACAUCGCAUCUAUGCAAUUAAUUACUACUCUAGCGUUAUCUAAACACUAAAGUAAUCAUUAUCUAUUAAUUGACAAAUAGUGAACAAUGAUCCAGGAACUAAGAGAUAAUCCUCAGAAAGCAAAUCUCAAUUACUCGAUAAAGAUAAUAUCAAUUAAAGCUGAGUACUUGACAAGGUACACAAAGUAAAGAGGAAAGUACCGACAACUCUGGAAUUCCUCUGACUCUUUCUUCUUUAAUUUCUCCCUAUUCUAAUGUAAAAAAAGAUGCAAUAGAGCCUCUUAUAAUUCAGCUCAUGCUUUGGUGUGUAUUGAAAUGAAGCAUGUGAGCUCCUUUUAUAGCCUUCAUAUGACGGUUUGGCAGUUGGAAAUGUCCCAACUACCUCUCCACCGUCAUUAGGAGGCUAUCUAGAUCGUCCACGUGGAAGAAGAUGGCGAACAGCACCAAUGUCGGUUCGACCAAACCAUGGCUGGCCCAUUUGACCCAGCCUUUUCUCCUGGGCUCUGGUGGAGAAUCCCUCAACCCAUAUGUUUGGUGAAUGGGCCCAUUUGAACGUGUUUCGUUAGGUUUGUGGCCCCCAAAACUCCAUAGGCUUGAAUAUGAGUUUGAUUAUCUUCCUUCUUUAUGUAUAUUUCUUCUCAACUCUAGUAGUUUGUCACCUGCAUCUAAAUAUACGCCAACACUUGUGGAUUUUGUUAGAAAUAAACCCUACUACUAUGUUGGAUAUUUUAUAUUAUAUUUCAGUUUUAUGCAGGUAUUGACGGCGUGAAUUUGGUAUUUAACAGCCGCCAAUAGUACAUGCGUCAAAAAAUAGGGUUGUGCCACCUGUACCAACAGGCAGCUGGUAGAACAUCCAACAUGAGAAUAAUAGAUAGGAAAAUAAAGCAUAUAAGUUACAUGACAUGACAGCGUAUACAUCAUAGAGUUUCCACAAAGACAUUGGUAGCUUUUUUUUACAACUUAUAAGGCAAAGACAGUAAGUGCAAGCAACAAAAAAAUAAUAUUAGGGCAAAACAUGUUGUACUUCUAUUCUUAGCUGUCUACUUAAAGCUAAGGCUGAAAAAUAGAAAACAACCAAAAAAGGCCCAACUAAUUCUACUAUUGCUAUAUAAGCUCUAAAAUCUAAAUUCUAAUUAAUAGAAGGGGACCUUGAAUAUCUUCUGAUCUUUCGAAACCCCACAAAUAAAUCCACCUGCAGGUGGAUGCACUAUGCCACUGUUGGGCGGACAAGCUAUACAUAGAUUGUUGUCGAUGUCACCAUCUACAAAAGGGAAAUUUGAUAAAAACAAAUUUAUAAAAUGAUGGAAUUAUGACAUGAAACAUUAACAUCAGAUUAAAAAGGAAGAAAUGGCAUACCAACUUUGGUGCAAGAAAGCACAUGGUAGAUGAAUCCACCAUUAAUGAUAAGCUCAACAAAAAACCGUUGUUGUGUGGAGUGUUCCCCCGUAGAAUCGUUUAAACGUUUACAUCCCAAGAUGUUACAGUGAUACCAACGGCGCUUCUCAAACAUCAUAGGAUACAAGACCAAGUUGUUUGGAACCAUAUCAUACUCUGACGACUAAAGAAAAUAUAAUAAUUAGUACUAGCACUUUAGAAGUCAGAAUUUUGAAUGUAACAUAUGCAUAAACCAGAAAUGAGUUGGCAUAUUGUAUGGGAGGAACAAAUUGUAACACAAUUCUACUAGCCUUAUAAUAACUUCCAGAAAGGUCGUUGGAUAUCCCAUUUAUGUAAUUGAAUGGUUUCCACUUGCCAGUAGUUCCCACGAGGCCACAAACACUAAUUUUUAAACUAAGAUCCACAAAUUCUUCUGGUUUAUACCUUAAUUAAAUAAAAAAUUUAUGACGAAUAUUUGGUUCCAAUUGACAACUAUGACUGCAAGCACAUCCAACACUGAUUAUUAUUCAAAUUUGUUUCAAAUUAGAUAAGAACCGUCUGGUCUUUCUUUUAUUUUAUUCAGUGGAGCUAGCACCACCAUUAGGAGAAUUUUUUCUGGAAUUAUUUUCUUGGACCUUGUCUUCUGAUAAGUCAUAACUAGAUGAAACACACUAAAAAUCCUAAGGAACAUAAUAGGACAUACUCUAUCCAGAAGAAAUAGUUCCCCAAAAAGUUUUAUGGACUUCAAGCAAUGAUAUUGCCCCAGAUGAACUAAAUAAUGUGGCUUCUCUUUUACCUUUGCUAGUUCACCAAAUUAAAGCAUGUCAAAAGAAGUUGACUUUUGAAUGGUUAAAUGCUAUUAAAUGCAAAUUUAUGUAGUAGCAUCUGGUAAAAAGAAAUGUAAUAGCUUAACAUUUUCUCGACUUAUUUAUAAUAAUAUUAUCUUAUGACUUGUGUCUUUCCAUGCGCAAAUGACUCUGAAUAAUUUGACAUGCAUGUGUAGAAGAAUUUAAAUUAGUUUGCAGUUGCAUAAAUUCUCUAACUAUGGUCAACUGGUCAAAGAGCAUCAAUUGCAUAUACAUGUUGGUAGUUGCAUUGUGGGUAAAUCAGGUAAGAGCACUAUCACAAAGUGAAUGCAAUAUGUAAUCCGAUCGAUCUUUUGGGAAUGCUAUAUCCGUUUUUCUUUUUUACUCCAAUAUUAUAUUACAUUGAUUUUAUUAUUGACAAAGGAAAUGAUAAAAAUUCAAGAAAGGUAUCCCAAGCACUAACUAAAUGCAUUACCAUGUUUUGAGCUCUCAUGUAAACCAUAGAAGCAUUCCAGAUGCCCUUUUCCCUGUCAUCAGCAUCAUCCACAGGUCUAGCAUCGAAGAGUAAUCAUAAUUAGCAAAGUGUAAACUAUAUCGAAUUGGCAGUUACACUAAUUAAUUAAACAUGCAUGGAACUUUAAACUAUAGAAUACAUAAUCUUAUGAAUUAUUGUCAGCUUGUUUAAGAAAAAAAAAGUAAUGCAAAUGCUAUAAAUUGUAUGAGCAUUGCAUAUUUCAUAUGUAUGAUGGUUUUUAUAGUUAGCUCUACUAGAGCAGUGCCCAUUGCCCAUGACCAGCAAUAGUUUCCAAAUUAACACAAUAGUAUCACUGACCUUAUCCUAAAUACGUCGGCCAAGAUAUAGUUAUUAUCGUCAAUGUCUCAUUGUUGCAACUAUGGCUUAUAAGUAAGCCAAGAAAAAUAAACAAAGCAACCAAUUUUUGAUUAUAUAGUAAGACUUUUAUACUUUACAAAAAGCAAACCAAAUAAUAUCAUACCAACCAGCCCGGCUUUGUUAGAACACUUAUUAUUGACAUACUACCAAAUUCAUACUUCCUUGUAUUCUAUGACAGAAAGUAAUACUAUAGCUAGCUAGAGUAAACAUGAUUAAUAGCAUAUGUAAAUGAAACGAGAGGUUUAUGAACCCAAAUCAAUAAAAGCAAGAACUUAGAAAGAAAGGAUCAGGAUACGUACAUCUGUCCGAGAAUGAAAGCGAACAUAUCGACGUCGGGGGUGUUUCUCCUAUCAACAUAGAGCACGUGUCUGGGAUCUCCGUGGGCGUAGGGACACCAGUCGGGAUCUGGGACGGACCUGCCCUUCUCGUCGACGGUGAAGGGGUGGCCGAGUUUUCUCAACAACGCAUCGAACCAGUCCUCCCCAUCCUCCUCCUCCUCCUUGACAAGAUCCACAGGCUCUGAGCGCUUACUGCUGCUGCUAUUACCUCGCACGCGCUCCAUCUCCUUCGUCUGCUCGGCUUCUUCCGCAACAACAACAGCCUCCUGUCUCUCGUCAGACAUGCGCGUGCUUGGAGCCUUCGCUGUGUGAUCCCCUUCAGAUUCAGAAAAAGCCAGAUAUAAUAGGCAAAUUCGUGCGACGGUGCGAGAGCCAGAGAGCGAAGUCGGCUCGGAUUUCGUCUCCGAUUAGAAUCUGAUGCGUAUUGGGCCGGGCUGUGGACUACUACUACUUUUUUUUUCGAUAGGGCCCUUUCGCCGUUUUCUAGUGAAACCGAUCCGUUCGUGCACGCCUUCUCUCAAGAAUCAAAGAUCUGAACACGGGGCUGGACUGCUGGAGUAGAUGUGUACGUUUUGGAUUGGAUAAGGUUUUAAAUCAGACCCACUUGUUAUGGCUCUUGACAAUAGCGCACAGAUAAUUCUACUCUCUAAGUUUUAAGUUUCAUAUUAUAUAAGACGUUUGACUUUUUCUCUAGUCAAACUUCAUUUAAUUAAUUCGAUCAAAUUUAUAGAAAAAUAUAUUAAUGUUUUGAACCCAAAACAAAUAUAUUGUUAAAAUAUAUUCAAUGUUAGAUUUAACGAACUAAUUAAUAAAUGUUGCUAGAUUUUUCUAUAAACUUAGUCAAACAUAACAAAAUUUGUUUAUGAAAAAAAGUUAAACGACUUAAAAUACGAAAUAGAGGGAGUAAUAAUCAUGAAUUCGGUUUAGAGAAAAUAUAGGAUGGGAUGGUCCCGGGCCCGUUGGUAACUUGGGAUGAUUUUCGUAUCAUGUUUGGUUAUGGGGAUCAACCAUCAUUUUGGGGGUUGGAGAUACAGAGAUGGAGCACUGAGGCAUCUUACUCCCGUUUUUCGUGUUUUUUAAUUUUCCUGAACUCGAAAAUUCACAUCCGUGUUUAUUUACCUAAAAUAACUUAAUAAAAUCUUUGUAAUUGGAAAAGGUUUAAUUUUACUAAAUAAAUAAAUAAAUUAUGUCGCCUUUUAGUUUAUCGUUGAUUAAUUGGAGUUAACCUUUAAGAUAAAUUAAUUAAGGAUUUUAGGAUUAAAACAAACCUCACUGUGCUUGGCCAUGGGAAACGCUGCCCACGUGCAUGCAUCAACGGAGCACAAGAAAAUGAAGAGAGUAGCAACAUCCAGGUAAUUCUAGAAACAUCCGCGCGAAAAGAAAAUGAUAAAUGUUAAAGAAAAGGUACCCUGAUUCCAAGGUCGACUUAUUCAAUCCAUUUUUAUCUUCUUCAAUAAGAUGAAUCUAGAAUUUUUCAAUAAGAAAGAAAAUCCAGAAAAAAAUUGUGAAGAUGCCAAAAAUAAUAAAGCUUCCCUCCUCUUCACAACAGUCAUCCUCUCCUUCACUGGUAUCCUUCACUGAUAGAGAAAUCAUCUUUACUCCCGGUUUAUAACCCCUGUAGUCCCAGGGCUUAAGUCCCGGGUGAAAUAAUCGAGAGUAAACAUCGAUCUUUAAUCCCAGUUGGUAACCAACCGGGACUAAAGAGAGGGAUCUUUAGUCCCGGUUAAUGCUACCAACCGAGACUAAAGAGAGGAUAGGGGCAGUCCCGGUUGGUCCAUUUUCUUUUUAUUUUCUCCCAAAUCAAGUGGGAUGUAUAUACCCAGAUCAAACAACAAAUCCCCAAAUCGAGUGUCAUGCAUAUAUCUAAAUCAAACCCUAAAUCCCCAAAUUCAAAGUAACAUCACAAAUCAUUCACAUCACAAAUACAAAUCCUAUGUUACUUACACACAAAUCAAAUACAUCACAAAUCUUAAAAAAAUUACACACAAAUCAAAUACAUCACAGAUCGGUUAUAGAAAGUAUACAUCUCUCAAUCACAAAUUAUAAAAAAAAGGAAAGGAGAGCCGGCGCGCUGCCGCUCCAUGCGCGGCCCCGCCGUCCGCGCCGCGCGCUGCCCCACCGCCCGUCGCGCGCUGUGCCUCGCCGCCCGGCCACCGCGUGAGGGCGCGCGAGGCCACCUCCGUCGCCGCCCGGCCACCGUGUGAGGGCGCCUCCGCGCUUCCCGGCCGCGCGAGGCCGCCUCCGCGGUCGCCCGGCCGCCGCCGCCUGAGAAGUGGGGAGGAGACGGGAGGGGGCGGAUCCAGAGGAGGUUGAGAAGUUGGGAGGAGAGGGGAGGAGGCGGAUCCAGAAGAGGUAGAGGAAGAGAUGGGAGGAGGAAGAGGAAGAGAUGGGGUGAGUGAGGAGAGGAGGAGAUAAAGGUCAGAGCUUAUUAACUGAUCCUCCCGUGCGCCUCGGUCCUCUCGAUCUCGCACCACGCAUGUCGAUCUUUUUUUUCGGUUGGUAACACCAACCGAGACUAAAAAUAGAUCUUUAGUCCCGGUUGGUGUCACCAACCGUGACUAAAGAUAACGGAGGGGUCUGACACCACCUGCUGUCUUUUAAACCGGGACUAAAAAUGAUCUUUAGUCCUGGUUGAUGUUACCAACUGGGACUAAAGAUCAAAAAAGUAGCUCUAACCUUUUGAACCGGGACUAAAGAUGUCCCAGUUUUUAGUGGAACCGGGACUAUUGUGGAUUUCGGCCGACCGACCAAAGAUGGUUUCUCCACCAGUGCUUCCAUGUUUGCAUCCGGUCCAUUGGUCAUAGAUCUGAUGUCAACAUGCCAUUAUCACUGCCACCGGUGAGCUACAAUCACUUCCGG